Long non-coding RNA from Corapipo altera (White-ruffed manakin), 2342 nucleotides. RefSeq lists it as uncharacterized. Lineage: Eukaryota; Metazoa; Chordata; Aves; Passeriformes; Pipridae. The transcript has 4 exons. The record is from RefSeq and is a predicted model, not a curated record.
UCCGCGCUGAACCCAAAGCCUUCUUUUCUCCGCGCUGAACAAUCCCACCUCUCAGCCUUUCCGCGUACGAGAGGUGCUCCAGCCCUCUAAUCAUCUUCGUUGCCCUUAGUUCUUGUUCGUAAGAAGUAUCAUUGUUUCUGUAUCCUUACACCCUUCAGAUGUUUAACGGUGUGAGCUUUUCAGCAUUCCUGGUGAAUUACACAUUCUGGGAAUUAAUCAAAGCUAUUUAGUGAAUGAAGUUAUUGUGUGGAGGAUCUGCCUGUCCUUACCUGUGACAGAGGGAUGGCACAUAUAUACAGGAGGAGAAUGGAUUUCAGGAAGGGCAUGAGCAUCUCGGAGUAAAAAUAAUUAAAUCCUGCCGAGAUCAGCUGCUGUCCAGGGACACCACCCAGGCCUAAUUCAGAGAAAAAGUAGUCAGACUGAAGCACAGCAAAAGGUGAAGAAGUUGAGAUGAGGAACUUGGUGGUACAUGCACUCUGCAAACCAACUGGACACAACAAACAGCCUUGGUCUGAGGGCACGUGUGGGGUACAGGGAGAAGCAGGGAUGAGAUCCAUAUGGAGUCAGCACAUCAUUCCUCACGCUACAGAGUGGUGCAAAUACCUCCAGUCAGUGAGGUGGUUGCCUGGUGUAGUGGAGAAUUGGAAUGGGAUAGACACACUAGGAAUAUGAGACUUUUAUGUGUACACCUGAGUAAGUCUGAUAAAGAACACAAAUGGAAAUCUCUUGGUCACAAAGAAUACGAUUACAGAGCAAUAGAGGGGGUGCUUUAAUGAGCUGCUUAAUUGUGAGAGGGAGAAAGACAAACAAUAAAUGGUUGUUCUCCAAGCAGCUGAGCCAUUUGUGGAUGGAUUUCAAGAGAUUUAAGAGGCAAUCAAAAUACAGGCAGUAAAUAACAAAACACCAGGUGCUGAUAAUGUUUCUACUGAAAUAUGAAAAUAAAAGGGGGGAAACUACUGAAAGAUUUUACAAGGUCACUUGUUUGGUCUGCAGAUCUAAAAAACAACUGCCAAGGAAGAAAGGAGACAUACUUGGAUGAAGUCUUUAAAAUUAAUCAAUUUCUGCGGGAAAUAUAUUUUUUAUAAAGCAAGAAAAAAACCUAUAUCAGUAUAUGUCAUGAGGUGACCUUUUGGCAGUUGAAAUCCUUUUAAAUCCUUGUUCAGAAAAAAGGAAGUAUUUGAGUGGUGCAGGGAUGAUGGACCAUCUGGCCAAGAAAACAUUUAAUUUUCAGGCAUUUCAUAUUUUAAAUGUUUAUGAAUAAUCUCAAAUCUUUUAAAACACUUCUCUACAAAAAACCUACAAAACCCAAUAAAAAAGGAAAAAAACAAACCCAACACCCCACCACCACACCUGCUUCAAAAAUCCAGCUCUGAGUAACUGCAACUCAGAAGGUGACACUUCAGCAAUAUAAUAAGGCAAUGAGGUGUGGAAGGUUAUUUUAAAGCGUACUGGGUGAACCUGACUCAAACCAGCUCCAACCACAGCCCUUGUAGGUAUCUCUGUACUCAUGUAUUAACAGUUUGGGGCCAGCUCUGUGAAGUUUCAGCAGCUGAGCACAUUAUGUACAAUUUAAUUGUAAGAACAGUUUCAUUAAACUGGGGGAAUGACGGCUCACACAGUAGAAAGAUGAAAAGUAUUGUCCACUGUCACACUCAUGAACUUCUCAAGUAAAAUAAUAUUUGACUUAAAGGCUAAAGAGUGACUGACAAGCAAUAGUAACACAUUUAAUGAAAAGACUGUUCCUGUAGGGAGGAAGCUCUGGUUGGGAAGAGAUGGGGAGUUGCUUACACAAGGGUGAGGAGGAGAUGAAAGGGGCAGGUUAAUAGACACAGAGGAAGGUGGGAAUAGUAACUUUAGAGAAGAACAGUGGUGGACCUCUUUUUUGUCUGAUGCUGUCUGUGUUUAAGCUGCAGAGUAGAACAGUAUCUUGCAAAAAUCGCUGGGAAAGAUGGUCAGGUUCCUUCCUCCUUGCCAGGCUGCUGCUGCCUUUGUGUCUGUCUUACCCCCCACUGACUCCAGAGUAGAUGCUUUAGGUGCAUGUCCUGGCUGACUGGCUCUAUGGCUUCAUUGCUGGGCUUUUGCUCAGUUUGCUGUCUGCAGAGCCUUGCAAAGUAUCUCCACCAAAGGAACUUCAGGCAAAGAAGGAGUUAAAAGUAGUCCAAUAAAUUAAGUGGUACCUAAAAAACAACAACAGAGGAACAACAUUACAACUGGUGUCCCUUAGUACCAGCAAAAGGCUCAUGGAAUCCCAGAAUGGUUUGGGCUGGAAGGGACCUCAAAGCUCAUCUUGUUCCACCCCCAGCCUCAGGCAGGGAUACCUUCCACCAGACCAGGUUGCUCCA